RNAcentral lists this ribosomal RNA (253 nucleotides) under uncultured bacterium. RNAcentral's name for it is "partial 16S ribosomal RNA". It matches the Rfam family "Bacterial small subunit ribosomal RNA", at positions 524 to 776 of the family's 1533-position model. The record is from RNAcentral.
UACGUAGGGAGCGAGCGUUGUCCGGAUUUACUGGGUGUAAAGGGUGCGUAGGCGGCUCUUUAAGUCAGGGGUGAAAACUAUCGGCUUAACCGAUAGACUGCAUUUGAAACUGGGGGGCUUGAGUGGGGCAGAGGUAGGCGGAACUCCGGGUGUAGCGGUGAAAUGCGUAGAUAUCGGGAGGAACACCAGUGGCGAAGGCGGCCUGCUGGGCUUUAACUGACGCUGAGGCACGAAAGCGUGGGUAGCAAACAGG